UCCCUGAUGGUCCGGUGGCUAAGACUCUGAGUUCCCAAUACAGGGGGCCCGGGUUCAAUCCCUAGUCAGGGAA
This 73-nucleotide transfer RNA is filed under the name Bos taurus (domestic cattle). It matches the Rfam family "tRNA". Rfam says of the family: Transfer RNA (tRNA) molecules are approximately 80 nucleotides in length. Their secondary structure includes four short double-helical elements and three loops (D, anti-codon, and T loops). Lineage: Eukaryota; Metazoa; Chordata; Mammalia; Artiodactyla; Bovidae. The record is from Rfam by way of RNAcentral. RNAcentral also lists the same sequence under 1 other name.